Molecule: long non-coding RNA, 885 nt
Organism: Glycine soja
Lineage: Eukaryota; Viridiplantae; Streptophyta; Magnoliopsida; Fabales; Fabaceae
Exons: 4
Source: RefSeq, a predicted model, not a curated record
UGAAUUUAUAAAUUUCAUUUGAGAGGAUAAAAAAACCCUAGGAGAGUCGUGACCAUAGCGGCGCCUCCUUCACCCUAAUCGAUUUUUUCUUCAUGGAGUAGUGUCAUAAUCAGACACAGAUCAUGGUUGUUCUUUACUGGCACCUCCUUCACCUCUUUGUGGGGAAUAUUUGACUGUGAAGUUCUGUCUUUCUCCCUUGCAGAGGCAUCCAUUCCUCUUUCUGGAUUGGUUCUAACAACUAAUAACGGAGGACAAUCUUUCAUAGACUGUUCUAAAUAUGAAAUCAUUUGGCAGUGGAAGGAGGAAUUCGGUGCUAGUUUUGGGAGCUACUAAAAGAAUUAAAAAGAGCACCAUCUAUUACAGUAUUUUGAGAUGGAUGAGUGUUUGGUGUGCGACAUGUGUAGAACCUUUGGUAGGGAUUUUCAUCCAUUCUGUUCUUGCUGGCUCUGACAAACUCACCAUGGGCAUUCCUGAGGCAAAUACCCCAACUUGUAAUCUGUUGCUAUGUAUUGAAGCCAGCAUCUACAUUGCACUUGGAGGAGGUUCCCACCGAGCAAUGUUCUGAUUGGAGAUUUAUUUGGUGCCCCGUCUAAGUGUCAACUUCCGCUAAUUUUCUGUAGCGAAACUCAAAGUUACACUUACAUAGUUAUACUUGUUUAACUGGAUCGAUGUCCUCGGAUCCACACGCACAACAUCAUGGAAGAUGGGUUAGAGUUUCGAUGUUAGAGACGAACUUGUGAGUUUACAAAUUUCUUUAGAGUCACAAGAAAGAUGAAUUGUAUUGGUUCUGAAAUUGUAUUUGGAUUAAUUCUGUUAGUGUUUAUUUGGAUUGUUGAAUAAUGAAUGAUUGUUGAAAGUUGAAAUUGGAAAAAUUGGUUUGGACUU